RNAcentral lists this ribosomal RNA (406 nucleotides) under uncultured bacterium. RNAcentral describes it as "bacterial SSU rRNA". It matches the Rfam family "Bacterial small subunit ribosomal RNA", at positions 354 to 777 of the family's 1533-position model. The record is from RNAcentral.
GUGGGGGAUAUUGCACAAUGGGGGAAACCCUGAUGCAGCAACGCCGCGUGAGUGACGAAGGUCUUCGGAUUGUAAAACUCUGUUCUUGGUGAAGAUAAUGACGGUAGCCAAGGAGAAAGCUCCGGCUAACUACGUGCCAGCAGCCGCGGUAAUACGUAGGGAGCGAGCGUUGUCCGGAAUUACUGGGUGUAAAGGGUGCGUAGGCGGCCUUGCAAGUCAGGCGUGAAAACCAUGGGCUCAACCCGUGGACUGCGUUUGAAACUGUGAGGCUUGAGUGAAGUAGAGGUAGGCGGAAUUCCCGGUGUAGCGGUGAAAUGCGUAGAGAUCGGGAGGAACACCAGUGGCGAAGGCGGCCUACUGGGCUUUAACUGACGCUGAGGCACGAAAGCAUGGGUAGCAAACAGGA